This 807-nucleotide ribosomal RNA is filed under the name Triticum aestivum (bread wheat). Its description in RNAcentral is "partial small subunit ribosomal RNA". The record is from RNAcentral. Lineage: Eukaryota; Viridiplantae; Streptophyta; Magnoliopsida; Poales; Poaceae.
AUGGUAGACCACAUGGAGCUCUCUGUGGAGAGCGGCGGCGGUGGCAGGCCCCCGCCUACGCCCCAGAUCAGCCUUGUGGGACUGUUCCUCGCGUGCAUGGUCGCCGGCGGUGUGCAGUACGGCUGGGCGCUGCAACUCUCCCUCCUCACCCCUUACGUCCAGACAUUGGGAAUACCUCACGCUCUUACUUCAGUUAUGUGGCUCUGUGGUCCUAUUGCUGGAUUAAUUGUGCAACCAUGUGUGGGUCUCUCUAGUGACAAGUGUGGUUCGCCACUAGGGAGGCAGAGACCGUUUAUCCUCUCAGGAUGCAUCGUCAUCUCCAUAUCGGUUAUAAUUGUUGGGUUCUCCUCGGACAUCGGGUACGCACUCGGGGACACGAAGGAGGAUUGCAAAGAUUACACUGGGCCUCGGUACCGUGCGGCUGCUGCCUUCAUUUUGGGCUUCUGGCUGCUCGACUUCUCCAAUAACACAGUGCAAGAUGAAUGGAAGUGUUCUUACUUGGAGUGGGUUGAUCAAGAGUGGCCACAGUCUUUGAAGAUGUGCCUAGCAAAGCUUUGGAUCACGUAUGAGGAAGAGAACAAAGAUAGGCUUAGAGAAAGUGUUCUCAACACUGAAGAAUAUUUCAAGAUGUGGCAAAAAAAGAGCAAGAUGGAGAAUGAGCUCAGAUGUUUUAAAUUAGACUUUGCUAAGAUGGUGUUGGCAAAGGAGGAGGCACUUUCCAGGUUGGUGAGUGCAAAACAGGUUCUUACUGAACUGAAAGUAGAGGUGGAGAAGACAAAUCUGGCUGAUCAUGCAUCGAUCGAUUAG